This is a long non-coding RNA of Zea mays, 605 nucleotides long. RefSeq lists it as uncharacterized. Lineage: Eukaryota; Viridiplantae; Streptophyta; Magnoliopsida; Poales; Poaceae. The transcript has 4 exons. The record is from RefSeq and is a predicted model, not a curated record.
CUGGACUCAGGGUUCUCUGCCAUUCACUCGUUCUGGACUUCUGGUUCCCAGCACGAUUAGGGUUCUAGGUUCCCAAAUUAGCGUUGUCGCUGAAACACAGAUGCGGCAUGCCAGCCGCCGGCCCGCCGUGGUCCCUUCCCUUCUCCGGUCAUCCGCUCAUCUCGCCGGCAGCCGUCGCACUUUGGCUCCACAGAAAUCAAGGAGUGCGUGCGAGUGCAUGCGGACAGCCAACGACGACAUAUUCUUGGAUGACAUCCAUUGGUCACAGUGAUGAGUCGUAACAAAAAAUCAACAUUGGCCCAAGGUUCUGCAGCAGCAGGAAGAGGUGCUGGAAGCACGUAGGAUCAGAUCGAGUUGAUGCUUGAAGUGCGUGAGAAAAUGACUGCUAGCAUGCAUGCUAGCCGUUGGCAUAACACCCAGCUGAUAGAGAGAUUUUAGUAAGGAGUAGAUGAAUCGUUAGACUUUUGCAUGUAAUAGAACUGGAAGAUCACUUCAUAAUUUAGGAAACAUGUAUGUUGUUAUAUUUUGUAUGUUCAUCAUACAAAUCGUGUUCCAAACAAAUAUAUGUUGGAAUCCAAAGUCAAAGGUCGACCUCACUUGUAGUA